Pan troglodytes (chimpanzee) is the source of this 2251-nucleotide long non-coding RNA. RefSeq lists it as uncharacterized. The record is from RefSeq and is a predicted model, not a curated record. The transcript is spliced from 3 exons. Lineage: Eukaryota; Metazoa; Chordata; Mammalia; Primates; Hominidae.
GCGGAGGCCCCUCCACGAGUCACAAGGCAGACUUUCCAUUGGCGUCAAACGUACGUGGAUGCUGGAUCUGGGACGGACAGGAGCCAAGAGGGGAGAAGCUAGUUUUAGAAAAUUCACAUGCCUGGGGGUCACAGAGGGCAGAGCCCCAAGGGCACCGCAUCCCCAUGGCAGGGGUGGGAGUGGCCCUUGGGGCAUAGACCCAGUAUGUGUGCACACUCUCCCUCUCUGUCACUCCCACAUAUGCACAUGCAAACACACGCAAACACAAACACACAUGCACACAAACACGCACAAGGAAACACACGCACACAUGCACACACAAGCACACACUCAUGCACACACGCACACACAAGCAAACACACGCACACACAUGCAAACACACACACCUCAUAUCUCUGUCUACAGUGGAGACCAAACAGACCUCCCCAGGGAGGUGAGACCUCCCACAUGGAUGGCAGGAGACAGGAGUCCGAGAUUCCUGGGUCUGGAGUGCCUACGUGUGUACCCCACACUGCACAGUGUACGAUGCCUGCUAUGCUCCUGGGACAGCAUGUGGGGUGGGGCCUCCCAGGCAUGAGAGAUGGAAGAUACUCCAGUGGGCAUGUGAGGCCCAGAAAGCAAGCGCGCUGCUCUGAGUGAUGUCAUUGUGUCUACAGCGCUGUCGGGCCCUGGUGAUCUUCGCCUUCCCAGACAGUUUCCUCUUCUCUUCGUCACAAAACCCUGUUUGUUUUGUUUAAGAAAACCCGCCUGCUGACUCUUACGUAGUGUCAUGUAUUUUGUUGUCUGUGUUUCUAGGGCUGCCGCCAACCUCGGGGUGAUCACGUGACCCCCAAGGCUAGCCAGCAAGAGGACCUCAUUCCUCCACCACAGACAGCAGGACAGGGGUGGGCAUGGGGCCCGAGCCCACACAAAGCCCUGCCUGGGAUUUUGCUGAAGACAGAAGCACCCUGACCCUCCAAGUUGGGAGUUUCGAGGACCCCCUGAACUGAGAGCUCCCGGGCCGUCUUUCCCUGAGAAUGAAGCCAACACAGGCAGGAUUGAGCUUAGAGUCUGAAUUCGAUGGUGCCUAGUGACAGCCUCUGAACUCCUGGACCCAGCUACACCUGAAGCCAUUCUACCCCACAUUUUCUAGGACUUUCCUGUAUGACUGCAUGGCUAAUAGCACUUCUCCUCGACACCGGUGCUGUUCUCGGAAUCCUAUCUAGAGCUUACAGGGAGACAAUAGUGAGCCCCUAAAAGAUGCAUCCACCCAGAACCUAUAAAUGUGACUGAAUUUGGAAAAAAGAUCUGUGCAGAUGUCAUUAAGGACCUUCUGGUGAGGUCAUCCUGAAUUGGAGCGGGCCCGGAUCCAAUGACAGUGUUCUUAGAAGAGAGGAGGAGAAGAUACACACAGGGAGGAGUCAUGUGAAGAUGGAGGCAGAGGCCACCUGGAGCCACCAGGAGCUGGAAUAAGCAACGGGUUCUCCCUGGGAGGCCUCAGAGGAAGCGUGGUGCAGCUGCCACUGUGACUUUGGACUUCUGGCCCCAGCACUGUGAGAGGAUAGGUUUUAAGCCAGGCGGUUUGUGGUGCUUGGUUAUGGCAGCCCCAGGCACUCAUGCACCUCUCCAGAGGUGCUGCUGCCCAGGGAGUGUUCUGCACGCUGCACCUGGCUUCCUGCUUUCAGCAGUAAUUUGUGCAUUGCUGCACAUAAAGCCACCUCCCGCUUUUUAACAGCUGCCUGACACGAAUCCCACUGUCUGGGUGUAGCAUGAUUUAUUUCUCCAGACUCUUAUCCGGGCAUGUUGGAGCAGUUUCCAGCUUUUGACAACUUGCAGGUAAAGCUGUGUCAGUAGCUUUGUGCAUAUGUUAUUUAGCACUUGUGUGCACCUAUCUGCAGAGCUGCUGGGUGUGUGCACUCUACGUUUCUAUACCUAUUUCAAAGAAGGCAUCACAAGUUGCUCACACCAGUAAUCGGUUAGGAGCCUCUCUCCUACUCCUCACCGACAGAGGGUUCUCAUGCUUUUGUCUUUGGCUGUCGGAUAGAUUAAAAACAGUCUUACAUUCUGAUUUUAACUUGCAUUCUUUCUUUUUUCCCAUUAGUGCGUGUAUCUUUCCAUAUGUUUAACAGCCUUCACAUUUCUGUUUUGUGAACUGUUUUUGUACUUCGCCCAUUUUCUAUCACUUCGUUGGUCUUCAUUGCAUUGAUUUCUAGAACUUCUUUAUGUAUGAACCAAAUGAAGCUUUUCCUGUGCCUUGCAUUGCAGAUACUAU